AUUGAACGCUGGCGGCAUGCCUUACACAUGCAAGUCGAGCGGCAGCGCGGGGGCAACCCUGGCGGCGAGCGGCGAACGGGUGAGUAAUAUAUCGGAACGUGUCCUGUAGCGGGGGAUAACCUAUCGAAAGAUGGACUAAUACCGCAUACGACCUACGGGUGAAAGCGGAGGACCGCAAGGCUUCGCACUAUAGGAGCGGCCGAUAUCGGAUUAGCUAGUUGGCGGGGUAAAAGCCCACCAAGGCGAUGAUCCGUAGCUGGUCUGAGAGGAUGACCAGCCACACUGGGACUGAGACACGGCCCAGACUCCUACGGGAGGCAGCAGUGGGGAAUCUUGGACAAUGGGGGAAACCCUGAUCCAGCGAUGCCGCGUGUGUGAAGAAGGCCUUCGGGUUGUAAAGCACUUUAGUUGGGGAAGAAAAGUAAUAAGUAAAUAAUUUAUUGCUCUGACGGUACCCAAAGAAUAAGCACCGGCUAACUCUGUGCCAGCAGCCGCAGUAA
This 500-nucleotide ribosomal RNA is filed under the name uncultured bacterium. RNAcentral describes it as "partial 16S ribosomal RNA". It matches the Rfam family "Bacterial small subunit ribosomal RNA", at positions 30 to 523 of the family's 1533-position model. The record is from RNAcentral.